CCAAACAAGAAGUUUAUCAGGAAGCAGAUGACAGGAAAUCAUGUAACAUUUAACGCACCUUUUUUGAAUAAUCUUUUUUUUUUUUUCUUUUUUUUCCUUCUGCUUGGUGCAGUUGAGAUUGAUUGCAAUGAUGAACACCUUAGGUUGGCCUGGAGACAGAAGGAUGGAAGCUGGAGAAAAGCUACGUCUGUGGAGUUUCUGAAGAGCUUGGGGAAAGGUCAGGAAAUAAACUCCAGGGAAAGGAAAGAGCAGAUGGUGCAUAAGGAAACUCAUAUUCCAGAGAAAAUUGGCCACUGA
Molecule: long non-coding RNA, 297 nt
Filed under: Anas platyrhynchos platyrhynchos (common mallard)
Lineage: Eukaryota; Metazoa; Chordata; Aves; Anseriformes; Anatidae
Description: lncRNA (ENSAPLG00000029614.1)
Source: RNAcentral